GUCCUGGAACUCACUCUGUAGACCAGGCUGGCCAUGAACUCAGAGUUUUGCCUGCCUCCCGAGUACUGGGAUUAAGACAUAUACCACCACACCUGACCCAGUCACACACCUUCUGAUGUUACACAAAGUCAGGGCACUGGGAUGGCUCAGCAGGUAAAGGUGCUGGUUGCCAAGCCUGCCAACCUCAGCUCAAUCCCCAGAGAUGAGUGGUGGAAGGAGAGAACCAAUCCAAAAGCAUUGCCCUCCGACCUUUACCGUGCACUGGCAUACACACACGAGUGCAAGAAAUAUUUCAGUCAGGUUAGGUUAAGCCACUGGUGGAAAAUGGAAUAACAUAGUUUAUUCUUGUAUAAUUAGAAAAUUAAGAUGCCUUAAGGGAAGUUAAAUACUCACACAUGAAUGACCAGGAACGCUCUAGGAGAAUUGAGUUGGGAGGCAGGGCUGCCCUCACCAUAUGUCGAAGCACAAACUGUAGCACUUAGACUUGGAAUUGAUACAGAAGCAGAUCAGCCAAUGCCUGGUGGCUGUAAGUUCAGUUAUGUGUAGCAACAAGAGGCUUUCUAUCCACGUCACUCCUUACAAAGUCCAGACAGAACCAACAGAAAUAAAAGCAAGACUGCAAAAG
Molecule: long non-coding RNA, 625 nt
Filed under: Rattus norvegicus (Norway rat)
Lineage: Eukaryota; Metazoa; Chordata; Mammalia; Rodentia; Muridae
Description: long non-coding RNA NONRATT001456
Source: RNAcentral